GAUGAACGCUGGCGGCGUGCCUAAUACAUGCAAGUCGAGCGAACAGACGAGGAGCUUGCUCCUCUGACGUUAGCGGCGGACGGGUGAGUAACACGUGGAUAACCUACCUAUAAGACUGGGAUAACUUCGGGAAACCGGAGCUAAUACCGGAUAAUAUAUUGAACCGCAUGGUUCAAUAGUGAAAGACGGUUUUGCUGUCACUUAUAGAUGGAUCCGUGCCGCAUUAGCUAGUUGGUAAGGUAACGGCUUACCAAGGCGACGAUGCGUAGCCGACCUGAGAGGGUGAUCGGCCACACUGGAACUGAGACACGGUCCAGACUCCUACGGGAGGCAGCAGUAGGGAAUCUUCCGCAAUGGGCGAAAGCCUGACGGAGCAACGCCGCGUGAGUGAUGAAGGUCUUCGGAUCGUAAAACUCUGUUAUUAGGGAAGAACAAAUGUGUACGUAACUAUGCACGUCUUGACGGUACCUAAUCAGAAAGCCACGGCUAACUACGUG
This 497-nucleotide ribosomal RNA is filed under the name uncultured bacterium. Its description in RNAcentral is "partial 16S ribosomal RNA". It matches the Rfam family "Bacterial small subunit ribosomal RNA", at positions 28 to 507 of the family's 1533-position model. The record is from RNAcentral.